This 77-nucleotide transfer RNA is filed under the name Oceanospirillaceae bacterium. Its description in RNAcentral is "tRNA-Pro". It matches the Rfam family "tRNA". From Rfam's summary of the family: Transfer RNA (tRNA) molecules are approximately 80 nucleotides in length. Their secondary structure includes four short double-helical elements and three loops (D, anti-codon, and T loops). RNAcentral also lists the same sequence under 1 other name. Lineage: Bacteria; Pseudomonadati; Pseudomonadota; Gammaproteobacteria; Oceanospirillales; Oceanospirillaceae. The record is from RNAcentral.
CGGAGUGUAGCACAGCCUGGUAGUGCACUGCCUUCGGGAGGCAGGGGUCGGAGGUUCGAAUCCUCUCACUCCGACCA